AGCGAACGCUGGCGGCAGGCCUAAUACAUGCAAGUCGAGCGCGCCCUUCGGGGUGAGCGGCGGACGGGUGAGUAACGCGUGGGAAUAUGCCCUUCUCUAAGGAAUAGCCUCUGGAAACGGAGAGUAAUACCUUAUACGCCCUUCGGGGGAAAGAUUUAUCGGAGAAGGAUUAGCCCGCGUUAGAUUAGGUAGUUGGUGGGGUAAUGGCCUACCAAGCCUACGAUCUAUAGCUGGUUUGAGAGGAUGAUCAGCCACACUGGGACUGAGACACGGCCCAGACUCCCACGGGAGGCAGCAGUAGGGAAUCUUAGACAAUGGGGGCAACCCUGAUCUAGCCAUGCCGCGUGUGUGAUGAAGGCCCUAGGGUCGUAAAGCACUUUCGCCAGAGAUGAUAAUGACAGUAUCUGGUAAAGAAACCCCGGCUAACUCCGUGCCAGCAGCCGCGGUAAUACGGAGGGGGUUAGCGUUGUUCGGAAUUACUGGGCGUAAAGCGCACGUAGGCGGAUUAGUAAGUUAGAGGUGAAAUCCCAGGGCUCAACCCUGGAACUGCCUUUAAUACUGCUAGUCUUGAGUUCGAGAGAGGUAAGUGGAAUUCCGAGUGUAGAGGUAAAAUUCGUA
Molecule: ribosomal RNA, 618 nt
Filed under: uncultured Alphaproteobacteria bacterium
Lineage: Bacteria; Pseudomonadati; Pseudomonadota; Alphaproteobacteria
Description: bacterial SSU rRNA
Rfam family: Bacterial small subunit ribosomal RNA
Source: RNAcentral